GCCGCUGCCAACCCGGAAGGAGCCCGGAGGGGCCCGGGCGGCCAGGGCGCCCCCGCCAGGAGGCCCGCCAGGUGUCCACCUGAGCCCCACGCCCUGCGCCGCGGGGCCCUUUUGGGGGCGGGGUGCCAGCUCCGAGGUGUCCUCCCACGGGCUGUAGACUGGGAAACUGAGGCCCGGGCCACGGUCCCAGACGCAGCCGGGACCCGAACCCACCUCACCUGAGCGAAUGAUAUCCGGGACUCAUCCUUUUUCGACACCUUUGCGGGAUCCAGCCCUCCAAGGAAAGCUUCCUGAGCAGUGCGCGCCACGUGUAUUGGGCACCUCACCGCGGCCACUUCACAUCCUAUCUCAGGUGGAGAAACUAAGCCACAGAAAGGAGCUGUCAUUUACCUAAAGCACCGUGGCAGGGGUUUGGCAGAGCCAGGAUUUGUACCCAGAUCGCCUGACUUCGGAGAGUAACAGCUCUUAACCACAGCACUUCGGUCUAUGCCUUGAUUUCACCAUAUGUAACAAGCAGCUGUGCCACUUUGCAUUCCCACCAGCAGCACGCAAGCGUUCGAAUUUCUCCGCACGCUCCCCAACAUCUCUUCACCUGUACGCUGGAGCUAAUAAUGACGGUGGCUGCCUGAUCGAGCAGGUGAUGAUUCAAUGGCGCAAUGUACAACAUACAGCCGGCACCAGGCACAUUGGACAAGAGCUUGCCGUGUUGCCCCAGGCUGGUCUCAAACUCCUAGCCUCAAGCAAACUUCCUGUCUCGGCCUUUCAAAACCCUGAGAUUACAAGCAUAAGAAAAGAAAAUCUUGUAAGAUGAAAGCUGAAGGAUGAGAGCAAUUAAUUGAUGAAGUAUGAUGAUCCAGGUGUCCCUGGGUGAAGAAACAACCUCUACAAAGGCCCUGAGGGUCUCGCUCAUCACCAGGCUGGAGUACAGUGACAUGAUCA
This 939-nucleotide long non-coding RNA is filed under the name Homo sapiens (human). RNAcentral's name for it is "HSALNT0405584". The record is from RNAcentral. Lineage: Eukaryota; Metazoa; Chordata; Mammalia; Primates; Hominidae.